This 455-nucleotide ribosomal RNA is filed under the name uncultured Streptococcus sp. RNAcentral describes it as "bacterial SSU rRNA". It matches the Rfam family "Bacterial small subunit ribosomal RNA", at positions 923 to 1382 of the family's 1533-position model. The record is from RNAcentral. Lineage: Bacteria; Bacillati; Bacillota; Bacilli; Lactobacillales; Streptococcaceae.
GCACAAGCGGUGGAGCAUGUGGUUAAUUCGAAGCAACGCGAAGAACCUUACCAGGUCUUGACAUCCGAUGUUAUUUCUAGAGAUAGAAAGUUACUUCGGUACAUCGGUGACAGGUGGUGCAUGGUUGUCGUCAGCUCGUGUCGUGAGAUGUUGGGUUAAGUCCCGCAACGAGCGCAACCCCUAUUGUUAGUUGCCAUCAUUCAGUUGGGCACUCUAGCGAGACUGCCGGUAAUAAACCGGAGGAAGGUGGGGAUGACGUCAAUCAUCAUGCCCCUUAUGACCUGGGCUACACACGUGCUACAAUGGUUGGUACAACGAGUUGCGAGUCGGUGACGGCGAGCUAAUCUCUUAAAGCCAAUCUCAGUUCGGAUUGUAGGCUGCAACUCGCCUACAUGAAGUCGGAAUCGCUAGUAAUCGCGGAUCAGCACGCCGCGGUGAAUACGUUCCCGGGCCUU